ACGCUCGACACCUACGGGAAGCAGCAGUGGGGAAUAUUGCACAAUGGGGGAAACCCUGAUGCAGCGACGCCGCGUGAGCGAAGAAGUAUUUCGGUAUGUAAAGCUCUAUCAGCACGGGAAGAUAAUGACGGUACCUGACUAAGAAGCUCCGGCUAAAUACGUGCCAGUAGCCGCGGUAACUGAGCGGGCUGGCAAGGC
RNAcentral lists this ribosomal RNA (198 nucleotides) under uncultured bacterium. RNAcentral describes it as "partial 16S ribosomal RNA". It matches the Rfam family "Bacterial small subunit ribosomal RNA", at positions 326 to 539 of the family's 1533-position model. The record is from RNAcentral.